UACGUAGGUGGCAAGCGUUGUCCGGAUUUAUUGGGCGUAAAGCGAGUGCAGGCGGUUCAAUAAGUCUGAUGUGAAAGCCUUCGGCUCAACCGGAGAAUUGCAUCAGAAACUGUUGAACUUGAGUGCAGAAGAGGAGAGUGGAACUCCAUGUGUAGCGGUGGAAUGCGUAGAUAUAUGGAGGAACACCGGCGGCGAAGGCGGCCUGCUGGACCGCGACUGACGUUGAGGCUCGAAAGCGUGGGGAGCGAACAGG
Molecule: ribosomal RNA, 253 nt
Filed under: uncultured Lactobacillus sp.
Lineage: Bacteria; Bacillati; Bacillota; Bacilli; Lactobacillales; Lactobacillaceae
Description: partial 16S ribosomal RNA
Rfam family: Bacterial small subunit ribosomal RNA
Source: RNAcentral